AUGGCAGCACCCACACGAGGUCACCCGGGGCUGGGAGGACUGGCAAGGAAAGCGACAAUGACGAUAACAGUGCGGCAAGGUGGAGGAGUGGUGGCAGCGGCAGCUAUGCUCGCUCGAGGGAGGCAGAGAAGCGGACAGAGUUGUGAUGGAGGGUUGGAGCCGGCUGGUUCUGGUGAGGAAGGGCACGGGAUGAUGCAUGCAGACAAAAGGGAGUGGCGCUUUGUGAGGUCAGCCAUGGAGGUUCCCCAGGCCGCGGCACGGGAGUUUGCCGGCGACGCUGUGCACAAGGGUGCAGCCGCCGCGCUGGUGGCCACGGGCACCACUCCAACGAGCAAAGAAGCAGCGCAGUUGCUGUGGUCUGCUCGAGCUCCGACCAUGCCUCCUCGGUUCUAUGUCGCCCAGCGGCCAAAUUCAGCUGCAUACGAGCCAUGCAGGCACCUCCCCUUCGCUUCCUUCAUCUCCAUUUGGUACGAAAGCGCUGGAUGCUGA
This 489-nucleotide ribosomal RNA is filed under the name Triticum aestivum (bread wheat). RNAcentral's name for it is "partial small subunit ribosomal RNA". The record is from RNAcentral. Lineage: Eukaryota; Viridiplantae; Streptophyta; Magnoliopsida; Poales; Poaceae.